RNAcentral lists this ribosomal RNA (253 nucleotides) under uncultured bacterium. RNAcentral describes it as "partial 16S ribosomal RNA". It matches the Rfam family "Bacterial small subunit ribosomal RNA", at positions 524 to 776 of the family's 1533-position model. The record is from RNAcentral.
UACGUAGGGCGCAAGCGUUGUCCGGAAUUAUUGGGCGUAAAGAGCUCGUAGGUGGUUUGUCGCGUCUGCCGUGAAAACCCGAGGCUUAACCUCGGGCCUGCGGUGGAUACGGGCAAACUAGAGGUAGGUAGGGGAGAACGGAAUUCCCGGUGUAGCGGUGAAAUGCGCAGAUAUCGGGAGGAACACCGGUGGCGAAGGCGGUUCUCUGGGCCUUACCUGACGCUGAGGAGCGAAAGCAUGGGGAGCGAACAGG